This 430-nucleotide ribosomal RNA is filed under the name bacterium. RNAcentral's name for it is "partial 16S ribosomal RNA". It matches the Rfam family "Bacterial small subunit ribosomal RNA", at positions 355 to 776 of the family's 1533-position model. RNAcentral also lists the same sequence under 1 other name. The record is from RNAcentral.
UGGGGAAUAUUGGACAAUGGGCGAAAGCCUGAUCCAGCCAUGCCGCGUGUGUGAAGAAGGCCUUUUGGUUGUAAAGCACUUUAAGCGAGGAGGAGGCUACCGAGAUUAAUACUCUUGGAUAGUGGACGUUACUCGCAGAAUAAGCACCGGCUAACUCUGUGCCAGCAGCCGCGGUAAUACAGAGGGUGCGAGCGUUAAUCGGAUUUACUGGGCGUAAAGCGUGCGUAGGCGGCUUUUUAAGUCGGAUGUGAAAUCCCUGAGCUUAACUUAGGAAGUGCAUUCGAUACUGGGAAGCUAGAGUAUGGGAGAGGAUGGUAGAAUUCCAGGUGUAGCGGUGAAAUGCGUAGAGAUCUGGAGGAAUACCGAUGGCGAAGGCAGCCAUCUGGCCUAAUACUGACGCUGAGGUACGAAAGCAUGGGGAGCAAACAGG